This 207-nucleotide ribosomal RNA is filed under the name uncultured bacterium. RNAcentral's name for it is "partial 16S ribosomal RNA". It matches the Rfam family "Bacterial small subunit ribosomal RNA", at positions 568 to 774 of the family's 1533-position model. The record is from RNAcentral.
UGCGUAGGUGGGCAGGUAAGUCAGUGGUGAAAUCCUGUAGCUUAACUACAGAACUGCCAUUGAUACUAUUUGUCUUGAAUACCCUGGAGGUGAGCGGAAUAUGUCAUGUAGCGGUGAAAUGCUUAGAUAUGACAUAGAACAUCGAUUGCGAAGGCAGCUCACUACGGGAAUAUUGACGCUGAGGCACGAAAGCGUGGGGAUCAAACA